This is a long non-coding RNA of Passer domesticus (house sparrow), 8835 nucleotides long. RefSeq lists it as uncharacterized. The record is from RefSeq and is a predicted model, not a curated record. The transcript has 3 exons. NCBI's taxonomy places the organism in Eukaryota, Metazoa, Chordata, Aves, Passeriformes, Passeridae.
CACUGGGUUUAUCUUUCUUCGCUGACUACCUGGAAGCUUUGUGGAGGGCUGUUGAUUAUCAGAGGCGUGUUUAUCGGUUAUUCAGAUGGCAAUGGUCCCGGGCCUCCGGGAGCGAUCUGCUCGGCUGUGGGAGCUGCGGCCUGCGGGCCCUCGGGCCGCCCUCGGGCCGUUCCGGGCCUGUCCCGCCCUCGCGCCCGGCGGAAUGGCGCCAAGCCGGAGCGGCUGCUCCCGGCCCGCCGCAGGGGGCGCUGCGGCCGCCGCUCUGUGGGUGCGCCGCCGGCGCCAUCUUGUGUGGGCGAGGCGCGAGGCGGAACGGGGCCCUCCGUGCGCGGAGAGGGGCGUGGAAGGGGCGCAUCGGCUCGGGGAUGGCUCGGGUGUUGUCUUGGGUUUGCAAAGAGACAAGAAGUAGCUGAGUAGGUCCCGGUUGGCCGGAGGCGAGCUGAGAGAAGAUGGUACCAUGGAUCACCAAAGGGACAUAAAGGCCAUGAGAGCCGCAGAGGGAGAAACAGGUUCUGGGGAAUACGUGAUUAAGGGAAGGCAAUAAAACAUUCUGACUCUGGUAGUGUUGCUUCUGAGGAGACGAUGGAGCUGCUUUUCCCACUCAGAGUGCUGUGGAAGGACAGGACAGAGUGGAACAGGAGAUGCUGGUGGAGGCAGCGGUGCAGUGAGCAGGUCCCGAACGCUUUCCUGUGGAAAAAAAUGAAGCUGGAUUUCCCUGGAGACAUUAAACCUCUGGACUUUACCCCCGAGAAGAGUCCCUCUUUUCUUACUUCGCCUACCCGCUGAUCACUGCUGCCUCCUGCUGAGGCGCUCCCUGGACGCUCCCGACGCAUCUGGGCAGUGCCCCCCCGGCUGUCAGCUGCUGUGCCACAGUUCAGCCGGCGCAGACUCCUCCCCAGCCUGGGGGAGUAGAGAAAAACUCGGACAGCAGCUCGGCAGUUUUGACAUCCACCGUAGGGGCAGUGGACACCCCCGGACCCCGUGGCAGGAGGUCAGUGGCCAGUGGGCAGGUUUUGCCCUUCCUGCUUGGUUCAUCGGUUGCUCCGUGGAUGUCAGACUACCCUGUCUGUGAGCAGACCUCGUUUUAGAGGCGGCGCUCCGGAUUGGGAGGGACCGGAAGCUCCUGCACCCCAGAGUCGGUCCCCAGCGAAGUCUCUCCCUUGGAGUUUUAUCCCGGUCGGCGCAUGUCAGAGGGUGAGUAUCCCCAGCUCCCCAUCUUCGGGUGGUCCCCCUCGCCUAAUGCCCUGGUUUCGUCCGGUUGAGUUGGUGGUUUCGUCCCAGACCCAGUGGGGUUAGGGUUGGUGCCUGAGGGGGUUUUUUUUGUUUGUGUUAUAUUUAUUUUCACUCCACGGGGUGGGUUUGCUGUGUCGGCAUGGGUGCUAAACUGUCGACACAGCAGAAAGGAGUUUAUCUCUAAGUUGUGGCUAUCCUUGGGGGGAGGGAAAUUAAAUUAAUUAAGAGGGAGUUAAAACAGUUGAUAAUGUGGUUGUUUACUCAGUUUCCUCAGAUCACCCCCGAAAUGGUUCAUAGGAUAGAUUUUUGGAAUUAGGUUGGAAGAAAAUUAUCUCAAUUGGAUUCUGAGGGGGAAUCAAAGAGUAAAAAAUUAGUUUAUUGGAGCUUCCAAAUUAUUACAGCUUUAAAAAAACAGGUGAAACUGAGGGAACAACCACCCCCUGGUUCAUGUUCACCCUGUCACCAAGCCCCAGACCCUUGUUCCACCUCCUCUGUACCUCUGAAUAAGGGGAUCCUGAGGGGAACAGCUCACACAGGCACAGUGCCGGGUUCUUGCCAUCCCCCGGGUUUUCCUCAGGGUCCUCCAACCCCCCACCUCCGAAGUCCUGGCCAGACUUCGGGGGAUUCUUCCCCAAACCCUGUUUCCCCUACCCCAAAGUCCCCGGUUGUCAAACCCAAAGUUGAGUUCUUAGUUCCAGAGGGUGACAACUCUCAGACCCUGUCCCAAAAUGGCUCCCAUGGAGCUCAAGAUGGAGGUGGCCACAUGGCUUUUCCUAUCAAAACACUGUCUUCUUCCCACAAUCCUUUUCUUUUUCCCUCCAACCCUUUUCUCCCCUCCCCUCCCCUGCAAAACCCCGCCCACCCCUGCUUCACUCCACCCUUCAUUCCUCCACCCCCUUCCCUGCCCUUCCCUCCUCCCCCUCCCCUAGCCCCGCCCCCAAGUUACCACCUACAGGCGGAGCAUGUCCCAUCUCUCGACUCCGCCCAGGCUCCCAGCCCCGCCCAGGUUUCCACGCAAUGCCCCUCCCUCCCCUGUUCUGGUUCCCACGCCCCACCUUCCGGUCCCCAUGACCCGGUUCCCGGGGGGGCGGGGCGGCGUUGGAGGACCGAAACACAGGGCUUGCACCAGUGAUCACUGCAGCCCCUGUCACAUACCAACUGGAGGGAGAGGGACCUGUUAAAGCGCAGUGGUCCCCAUUCUUGCACUCCCCCAUCAAGGAACUGUGCAAGGCUCAAAAGGAGUUCUCCCGGGAGAGUGAAUAUUUCCGGGGACUCCUUCGGGCCUCUUUAUUAGAAACUAAUGUUGUUCCCGCUGAUUUGCGGACGCUUUUUUCAUGCCUCCUCAACCCGACCGAGUUCCUGGUAUGAGAGGAGGCAUGGAAAAAGGGGGUCAGGGACAUCCUCCCAGAUUUGUGGGCGGAUGCCCAGACCAGCACAAUAGUUGGUGGUGAAGCUGUCUGCACAGAACACCUGCUUGGACUUGGGAAUUGGGCCGAUGGGGCGAUUCAAGCCAGGGACAUCCCCCGCACUGCACUUUGGGAAAGUGCGAAGGUGGCAGAGAGGGCUUUCAUUUCUUUAAAAACAGUAACAUUCACUGUAACAUUUUUUAAGAUUAUCCAGGGUGGUGAGGACCCUUUUAUAAUAUUUGUCGAGCGUCUCCGCAGAGCCAUCAAUCAACAGGUCCUAAGCGAGAGCGCUCGACCCGAGGUGCUGCUAGAGAUGGCUGCUGCGAAUGCGAACAUCGCCUGCAAGGCAGCCAUUCUCAGCCUCCCGUUGGACCCUCCUCUGACAAUUCAAUCCAUGAUUGAAGUGUGUCAGAGGAAGGUUCCGGUUAUCACCAAGGAAGACGCCGGAAGUAAACCACCGUCCCGCCAAGUGUCUUUCGCAGACUCACUUGCCUUCGCAGAUGUGAUGCCUGCACAGCCCCAGCGUACUCCCACCCAGGGAAGACCUCCACCUCACGGACAAUACCACCUGUGCGGAAACUUGAACCAUUGGAUGCCGGACUGUCCGCUUCGGGCUCAGUUCUAUGAGUUCCGAAGAAAGCAGACAGCAUCCCAGGAGGGACUCCAUCAAAAUCCAAAAAACUAAAACAUGAGUGCAGCCCCUCCCUGCAUGAUGACAAAAAUAGGGCGGGUGACAUACCACAAAAAAAGGGGGAUUUGGGGAGGGGAUCCCAGUCUGCCCACCCGAUUUCACGACUAGCUAAACCGGACUUGACUUCACAAUCAACCUUAACUUUUCCAUCGCUGACAACCUCUUCUUUGAUUUCACCCUUCAGGUUGCACCUGGUUGUGGAUCUCAACAUCACGAACUCCCAGUGCCACCUUGUGAUGGUAGCACCUCAGGCACCAGGUAUUUGGUACCGGAUCCAAAGUAAGUGUGUUGUCGUAGGAGACACCAAAUUCACACCCCCAGAAAUUACUAUCAUUCCGGGGUUGCUGCCGUCCAGCACUCACAACUUUGCCAUCGGGCUUUUCUGCAUACACCCACCGGUCUCCCUGGCCAAAGGCCAGGUGAUCACCCAGGCCAUUCCUGUGUCUCUCUCUGAAUUUUAUGAAUGUGAGAGACCCCUACCGCCACAUGGCACUUUACCAACUUACAACAUUAAUUGGUCGCAGACGGUAGGGCGUGGAAAGCCACAUUUGACAUGCACCAUGAGCAGGGGUGGCCAAACCACCAGGGUGAACGGAAUGCUGGACACAGGGGCAGAUGUGACGAUCAUUCCCGCCAGGGAAUGGCUGUCACAAUGGGAAUUGCAAAACGUGGCCGGACGAGUUCAGAGUAUAGGGGGCAUUCAAUUGGCCCGACAAUCAAAGAGCGUGGUACAAAUUACAGGGUCAGAUGGGCAAUUGGCUUCUGUGCACCCAUUCGUUCUGGAUUAUACGGAACCCCUGUUGGAUAGAGAUAUUUUGGCCCAAUGGGGUGCCACAGUUGACUUGCCUAAGCUUCCUCAGCUUUUUCAGUAGCGGCCACUGAGGAUUGCCCUACCCAAAAAUUGACUUGGAAAUCAAAUUCACCUAUCUGGGUAGAGCAGUGGCCACUCAACAAACAAAAGUUAAAAGCGCUCACGGAGCUCGUACAGGAGCAGCUAGAUAAGGGUAACAUCAUGGAGUCCAUGUCACCGUGGAACUCCCCUGUCUUCAUCAUUAAGAAACCCAACAAAGACAAAUGGCGGCUCUUGCACGACCUUUGCCAAAUUAACAAUAUUAUCGAAGACAUGGGCACUCUCCAACCAGGGAUGCCGUCCCCAACCAUGCUCCCCCAAAAUUGGAAAUUGGCCGUACUGGACAUAAAGGAUUGUUUUUUUCAAAUUCCUCUGCACCCUGACGAUGCCCCGCACUUUGCCUUCUCGGUCCCCACCAUCAACUGAGAAGCCCCAAGGAAGAGGUGUCAUUGGCAGGUUCUUCCUCAGGGCAUGAAGAACAGCCCUGUGAUCUGCCAAUGGUAUGUCUCUUCCUUGCUGUCCCCUGUUCGAGAGGCAGCAAAGGAUUCUAUUAUAUUACAUUACAUGGAUGACAUCUUGGUGUGUGCACCUGACAGCAGUGCACUUAUCUAUGCGCUUCUCCUGACAAUUGAAGCAUUGACUUCUGCAGGGUUUGAGCUCCAGGAAGAAAAGAUUCAAAGGAUGCCACCCUGGAAAUACCUUGGCCUGGAAAUUACUAAGGGGACCAUUGUUCCGCAAAAAUUGGCUUUUAACACCCAAAUUAAAACCUUGGCCGAUGUCCACCAGCUGUGUGGGUCUUUGAAUUGGGUGAGACCUUGGCUGGGUAUUCCUAUGGAAGACCUAGCCCCCCUUUUCAAUCUUUUGAAAGGGGGAGUGGAGCUUAGUUCUCCCAGGACCCUUACCCAGGAGGCCACCACAGCCUUGGAAAAGGUGCAAAACAUCUUAUCACAGAGACAGGCACACCAUUAUAAUCUGGACUUGCCAUUCAGUUACGUUAUUCUGGGAAAGCUGCCACACCCGCACGAGUUGAUUUUUCAGUGGGAGUCGUCCACAAAAACAUCUAAGGACCAAGGUUCGAGGGACCCUCUCUUAAUUAUAGAGUGGGUUUUCCUCAGCCAUCAUAGGUCCAAGAGGAUGAUGCGGCCACAAGAGUUGGUAGCUGAGUUGAUCUGGAAGGCUCGCCUCCGGAUCCGGGAACUGGCUGGAGUUGAUUUUACAUGCAUUCAUAUUCCUAUCAAUUUGAACUCGGGCCAACUAACAAAGGCCAUGUUGGAGCAUUUGCUCUUGGAGAAUGAGGCUCUUCAGUUUGCGUUAGAUUCAUUCACCGGACAAAUUUCUAUUCACAAACCGGCCCACAAAUUGUUUAAUUCGGAAAUGUCAUUUAAACUUUCACUUAAAACCAUUCAGAGUCGGAAGCCUUUGAAAGCUCUGACUGUUUUCACAGACGCGUCUGGAGCAUCCCACAAGUCCGUGGUGACUUGGCGGGAUCCUCAAACUCGGCAGUGGGAGACAGAUAUUGUAAAGGUUGAGGGCUCACCUCAAAUUGCCGAGUUGGCUGCGGUUGUCAGAGUCUUUGAAAGGUUCUCUCAACCACUUAAUCUGGUAACUGACUCUGCUUAUGUUGCUGGUGUCAUUUCUAGAGCGGAGAGCACGAUUCUUCAGGAAGUCCCCAACAUGGCUCUGUUCAAUUUGCUCUCGAGAUUGAUACAUCUGGUCUCCCACCGAGAGCAACCCUUUUAUGUAAUGCAUGUAAGGUCACACAUCAACCUGGCAGGGUUCAUCGCGGAGGGCAACUGGCACGCCGAUGCCCUAGCCUCCCCAGUUGAGAUGGCCCCACUCCCAGAUGCCUUUCAGCAGGUGAAGCUCAGCCACCAAUGAAUCCAUCAGAAUGCUCCUGGCCUGGUCCGUCAAUUCCAACUGACAAGGGAUCAGGCGAGAGCAAUUGUGGCCACAUGCCCACAGUGCCAGGCAUUUCAGUUACCAGCCAUAGCCGCCAGCACCAACCCGCGGGGGCUAAAAAGCUGUGAAAUUUGGCAGAUGGACAUAACACACAUCCCAGAGUUUGGCAAGUUUAGGUUUGUGCAUGUCUCUGUGGACACCUUUUCUGGGGCUGUCUACGCCUCUGCUCACACAGGGGAGAAGACUGCAGAUGUCAGAAAGCAUGUGUUGCAUGCCUUCUCCGUGUUGGGCAUCCCCAAGGUAAUAAAAACAGACAACGGGCCAGGGUAUACUUCCAGGGAAUUCCGGAGCUUCCUGCAGGAGUGGGGGGUAAGCCACGAAACAGGCAUCCCUUACUCUCCCACAGGACAGGCAGUGGUAGAGCAGGCCCACCAGAGCCUCAAACGAACAUUAGAACAUCAAAAAGGGGCUAUGAAGGUGGAGUCCCCUCAGACCCGGUUAGCUAAGGCCUUAUUCACUAUAAAUUUUCUUAAUUGUAGUUUUGAGUGCCUGAACCCGCCCAUCGCAAGGCACUUUAACACCUACAAAGACGUGCACCUGAAGGCGAAACCCCCUGUGUUAGUGAAGGGUCCAGAAACUUGGAAGGUGGAAGGCCCCUUUGACCUGAUAACGUGGGGUCAUGGAUACGCUUGUGUGUCCACCCCCACAGGGUUAAAAUGGGUGCCUUCCAAAUGGGUGAAGCUCUACCUUCCAGCGAAAGCCCACAACAUUGGCACCGCUACACAGGUGGAGGAGGCAGCGUGGCAACGGAAAAGAAAAGAAGUCCCUUUGGCCGGUCCCCCCCAGACCGAACCUCACUCCUCAGAAUCUUCUUUAUUAACUUAUUUUCUCCGUUUAUAUCAAUUGGACUCUCCCUCAUCGUAAUUCAAGUUAUGUUGAUGACCCACCCAGCCGACACGUGGAUCGUUCCCCGACCGAAGGCGAAUGUCUGGCAAACCUUAGCUCAAGCAGUGGGACAAGACCACCUGUGCCUGUCUACAGCUUCUGCAGCAGACCCCCUCUCAACUUGUCUCGUGGGAAUUCUGUUCAGGUUUUAUGAUUUUCCCCCUCCAUUAUUCCCUACCCUGAAAUCCUUGCUCCCACAAUCUGAUCAUGAGGUUCGCCCUGAACCCCACAUUGUGUGGCGAGAGCUCUUAGCAGUUCUCAAUCAGACCACCGAUGAGCCCACAGAAUUUGAGCUACUCGGCUCCGCACGAGCUUCCCUCUGUCUCCACUUUUUCCUAUACCCUGGGUCGAGCCCAUUUCAAGAAGUUCCAUCACAAGGGUGAAAAAUACCAAGCUGCUAAUUGGUGCAACCACACCAUCACUGUAUAUGCGCCAUCCACCUUUUAUGGGCGGCCCAGAUUUCUUCCCAAAGGUGUUUUUAUGUUGUGCAGAGACCGAGCGUGGGCUGGAAUUCCCUCUCGUCUGUCCGGAGGGCCCUGUACUUUUGGGCAGUUGGCGCUGCUUACCCCCAACUAUACCCAAAUUCUAGAUUGGAAAACUAAAAAUGUCACACAUGAUCCGGCCAGAGUUCAGAGAAGCACACACAAAAUUGACCCCGAGUGUGACGCGGAAAUUGUGCAUUGGUCCAAACCAAAAAACAUUGCAGUUUCGGUGUUUUUGCCGUGGGUGGCCGCAGCUAAGGCGCUCGGGGAAUUGGAAAACCUUGAGUGCUGGGUGGCUAAGCAAGCAAAUUUGACAUCCACUGCUGUAGCGGACCCCCUAGCAGACGAGGAAAUAAUGAGGCAAGCAACACUCCAAAACGGAGCAGCAAUAGACUUUCUGCUCCUGCUGCACAACCACCAUUGCGAGGAGUUUGAGGGACUCUGCUGCAUGAACCUGUCGUCACGAGCUGAGGACGCCAGACGUACCAUCCGCCGGAUGUCCGAGGACGUUGAUAAUAUCAAGCAGCAAACCUUGGACUGGUUGGGGGACUUGCUCUCAAAAGUUGAACUUUCAGGUUGAGUGGGCUCCAUCCUUCAAAUGAUUUUGGUUGUUAUAUUCCUUCUACUUUGUUUGACUCUUGGUUUUUGUAUUGUUUAUAAGUUACUUACCCGAAUUUUAUUUACCACAAUAUCCCAAAUUAAUCAUGUAGAGGCACCCCCUGACACUGCUCCCACCUCGGAUGAACCCCAAUGUCUAGAAAUUAGUUGGGAGCAAACCCCUAAUACAACUCAGUGGUUUCAGGAUAAUCAGGAGGAUAAUACUUCAGUUUAAAAGUAAUUUUUGUUUUCUUUUUUAAACAAAAAAGGGGGAGAUGUUGUGGUGUGUUCAUUUUUAUUUGGAGUUGGUUCGUUCUGUUACCCCUGUCUGUAAUGAUGGUUCAGCCUGGAAUUCCCCACCUUCCCCUGGGUUUGCCCCUCCCCAGCAUAAGGGUUCUAUCAAUGUAUUGUCUCCUCCCCUGUUCCCCUGGAUAACCUCUGUUAAUCCCUGCCCGAGUUCCUCUCCGUCACCCACUGGCCCCUCCCUUCCUUCGAGAAAGUUCUUCCCUUGUCAGUGGGUGAUUGGAUCAGGAACAAGAGUCCCUCCUUCCUAUCCUCCCUAUUCGCUAGCCGGCAUGUCUGUUAUAAGUUUGUUCCCUCCUAAGUUUUCCAUUAUUGGUUAUUGUGUAAUCCCCACCUGAGUGUUCCAUCCCCUUUAUAUACUGUUGCACCCAUUCCUCGGUGUCUUUUCUUGGCUGGCUUCCCUGGAGACAAAUAAACUUCUGGACUGUG